UACGGAGGGGGCUAGCGUUGUUCGGAAUUACUGGGCGUAAAGCGCACGUAGGCGGCGUUGUAAGUUAGAGGUGAAAGCCUGGAGCUCAACUCCAGAAUUGCCUUUAAGACUGCAUCGCUUGAAUGCAGGAGAGGUGAGUGGAAUUCCGAGUGUAGAGGUGAAAUUCAUAGAUAUUCGGCAGAACACCAGUGGCGAAGGCGGGUCACUGGACUGUUAUUGACGCUGAGGUGCGAAAGCGUGGGGAGCAAACAGG
Molecule: ribosomal RNA, 253 nt
Filed under: uncultured bacterium
Lineage: Bacteria
Description: partial 16S ribosomal RNA
Rfam family: Bacterial small subunit ribosomal RNA
Source: RNAcentral